UCUCUGGUAGUAUAGUGGUGAGUAUCCGCGCCUGUCACGUGCGAGACCGGGGUUCGAUUCCCCGCCAGAGAG
Molecule: transfer RNA, 72 nt
Organism: Strongyloides venezuelensis
Lineage: Eukaryota; Metazoa; Nematoda; Chromadorea; Rhabditida; Strongyloididae
Rfam family: tRNA
About the family: Transfer RNA (tRNA) molecules are approximately 80 nucleotides in length. Their secondary structure includes four short double-helical elements and three loops (D, anti-codon, and T loops).
Source: Rfam